UAUUUAUUGGAUUGAAAAUAACGGGGUUUUCCCAUUUCCAAUCUUGGUGGAUGUGGUGGUUUAAAAUCAGAAUUCAUGGGAAGAAUGGGUUAAUGGUUCUCAAUAAUGUUUUUCCUUUUCAAAGAAUUAAUAGUCUGUACAUAGUUUCACAAGUUGUUUUCCUUUUCUGUUUGUUUCCUGUGAAAAUAGAGGAAGCUUUUCCUGCAACAUUGUUCUUUCCUUUUUUCUCUUUUUUUUUUUUAACACUGUUAUUAUGCCAAUUUCGCUAUUAUGUUAUAGAAACAGUACUUUCAAUUAAUAGAUUUUCAAAUAUUUUUAGCCGUUUAGAGGACCUUGUUGAUCAAUUUGUUUAAACAGAGUGCAGUAGAAAUGGCUGCAUUCAAACUCCAGAAAACCCAGAGCCUGUUUUCUUCUUCAUAUAAAACCUCCUCCUUCUUCUCCACCUGGUACUCUCCGCCGCCGCCGACUCCUUCUUACCAUGAAGAUCCGAUUCUCUCAACUAUCUCCGACGCAAUUAAAAACUGCGAAUCAAAGCCACUUCAAGUCUCGCUCAAGAAAAUCCUCCCUUCCCUCAAAGCUCAUCAUGUUAUCAAUCUCAUCAACAAAAACCCUAAUUCUCUCUCUCCACAGUUUAUCUUUUCUUUCUUCAACUUUCUCUCGUCAUGCCCCACCUUUCGCCACACAAUUCAGUCUUAUUGCACCAUGGUCCAUUUCCUAUUUGCCCGCCGAAUGCAUUCUCAAGCCCAAUCUCUGCUUCAUUUCGUUGUCUCUCGCAAAGGAAAAGACUCUGCUUACUUAAUUUUUGCUUCAAUUCUUGAAACUAAAGGUACCCAUUUAUCAAAUUCUGUUCUUGAUGCUCUAAUGAAUGCUUAUACAGAUUUAGGAUUCGUAUCAGAUGCUAUUCAGUGUUUUAGAUUGAUAAAGAAACAUAAUUUUCAAAUCCCAUUCCAUGGUUGUAAGUGUUUGCUUGAUAGAAUGAUUAAAACCAGCUCGCCUUUAGUGGCUUGGAGGUUUUAUCUUGAGAUUUUGGAUUCUGGAUAUCCUGCAAAUGUAUAUAAUUUCAAUCUUUUAAUUAAUAGAUUGUGUAAAGAGGGUAAAAUUACAGAUGCUCAUAUGGUUUUCGAUGAAAUAGCAAAGAAGGGUUUGCGGCCUACUGUUGUCAGUUUUAAUACUUUGAUCAAUGGCCAUUGUAAAUUAGGGAAUUUAGAAGAAAGUUUUAGGUUGAAGAUGGUUAUGGAGAAGAAUAGGAUUUUUCCUGAUGUUUUUACUUAUAGUGUUUUGAUCAAUGGCUUGUGUAAGGAUUUUAGGUUAGAUGAUGCUAACAAGUUGUUUGCCGAAAUGUGUGAGAGAGAUUUGGAACCGAAUGAUGUUACUUUUACCACAUUAAUUAGGGGGCAAUCCAAGAGUGGUAGAAUUGAUUUGGCCAUGGAAAAUUAUCAGCAAAUGUUAAGAAAAGGCCUGAAACCUGAUUUGAUUUUGUAUAAUACACUCAUUAACGGCCUUUGCAAGGUUGGGGAUUUUGAGGAAGCAAGAAAGCUUGUUGAUGAGGUGCAUAAGAGACGAAUGAAACCUGAUAAGAUCACAUACACCAUACUCAUAGAUGGUUAUUGUAAGGAGGGAGAUUUAGAAUCAGCUUUGGAGAUUAGGAAGGUAAUGUUGAAGGAAGGAAUUGAGCUUGACAAUGUAGCAUUCACUGCCCUGAUUUCAGGAUUAUGUAAAGAAGGUAAGAUAAAUGAUGCAGAAAAAACAUUGAGGGAAAUGCUGAAAGCAGGUUUAAAGCCGGAUGAUAUGACUUACACUAUGGUCAUGGAUGGAUACUGUAAGAAGGGUGAUGUCAAGACCGGGUUCAAGUUGCUCAAAGAGAUGCAGAGUGAUGGCCACGUACCAGGAGUUAUAACUUAUAAUGUGCUUAUGAAUGGACUCUGCAAGCAAGGUCAAAUGAAAAAUGCUAAUAUGCUUUUAGAUGCUAUGCUUAAUUUGGGAGUAGUUCCAGACGACAUAACUUAUAACAUUUUAUUAGAGGGUCAUUGCAAGCAUGGAAAUUUAAAAGACUUGCAUAAAGUAAAGAGUGAAAUAGGACUUGUGGCAGACUAUGCAUCUUAUAAGUCACUACUUAAUGAGCUUAGCAGAGAUUCAAAAGAUUUCCGUAAGAGAUGAUUUCUGCCGGUCAAAUGAGUGUUGGGUUUUCAGAUUUGGUUAACAUAGCUGAUGAGCGGACUUAAAAAUGAUUGGGACAAACUUCAACCGAGUGAUUUGGAGAAAAUUGAAGUCCUUUGUUUCGGCGAACUGGCCGUUGUAUUUGACUUCAACCCAAUUAUCCCCAAGGAUUACGAUGGCCUUUUACAGGUUUUGUUGCUGCACCAUUAAAGAUCCAAUCUGAGUGAAAGUAAUCAGCAAAAGAGGAGAAAAAUACUCUGAAACGAAAGUGUUGUAAGUAAUUAAAGAUGUAUUCCUUUUGUUGGAAUGUUUGAGAUUUUUACUAGAGAUAUCUUUUCCAGAAAUUAGAUGAUAAAAUCUAAAGUUAAUUGUGAAUGUGUAUGUCCUUGAGUUGAAGAAUGUUGUUUGAAGUGAAGAAAUGUGUUAGUUGUUGUGUUAGGUAGCAAUAAUGCUCUUCUUGUCUAUGUAAUCUGCUGCUACAUAAAGCAACCUUUGUUAGGGAAAAAUGUAGAGAGAAGAAUGAAGAGAGUUAGAGAGUUGUAAGAAACUUAUGUUCAAAAUGAAAAGGAAAAGAAAGAAAUCUCUGUUUAUAUUUCA
Non-coding RNA from Jatropha curcas, 2754 nucleotides. The record is from RefSeq and is a predicted model, not a curated record. Lineage: Eukaryota; Viridiplantae; Streptophyta; Magnoliopsida; Malpighiales; Euphorbiaceae.